This is a long non-coding RNA of Medicago truncatula (barrel medic), 491 nucleotides long. RefSeq lists it as uncharacterized. Lineage: Eukaryota; Viridiplantae; Streptophyta; Magnoliopsida; Fabales; Fabaceae. The transcript has 3 exons. The record is from RefSeq and is a predicted model, not a curated record.
UUAACGUUACUUCUUUUUAUUCUCAUGUUUUUUCUGCGAUUGUUGAUCUUUUCUUUUCAUUGUUUCAGCCCUUCUAAAGCAACAAGGUAUUCUAGAUUUUGAAUCCCUUUUCGGAUUGUUAACAACUUGCUCGCAAUGGUGGGACAGAGCUCAUAGUGUUGGAGGACCAUUUCAACAAUUUUGGAAUGGGCAUUUGCAGAGAUCUUGAAGGUCGAGAUGAAAUAAGGAUUUUCAGGCGAUUCCAAUUUGUACCAGAAGCUGUUAGCCAUUUAUGCAUCUUUUAAAAUCACUGAUGUAAGAAUCAUGCUAGCUACACUAUUUUAAGACAGUUGAUGUGAAGUCAAUUAUCCUGUUUGGCUGAUACACUAUUUUUGCAUGAAGACAGGUAAAUGUUAAACUACUACAUUAUAUACCAUCAUUUUAUUCGUGUCUAUCUAACUGUGAUUGGUUAAUUUAGUUGGCAAUUGUGUGUCCAGGUGUUUUGAAUUUGU